UUAUGCAUUUACGUAAUUAAAAUUAUAAUUUUAAGUCAUAAGUCUCGCUAAGCUAAGGCACAUUUUAUUCUUAGAUUAUUAAUUUUGUCAAUAAAGAAAAUUUUAAUAUUUACUUGUUGGUCAUAUUUACUAAAUCGAAAUGUAAUAAAAUAGAUUUAAGAAUAUAGCUAGUAUGAAAAGUUGCGUAUUUGAUCUACAGACUACCACUUUAACAGAAGAUAAUUGGGCAAUGGCUAUUUGUUUAUCGACGACGUCUGAGAUAAAAUUCGUUCGUAAUAGGCUAUUUUUUAAAAAUAGGGACAACUUAUACACGACAAGAUGUCAAUUCAGUACGUCUAUCUUUUUACCUUUGGUACUGAUCACUGGCUGUGUGCUUGAAGCUGGAAUUCCAGUGACGUAACGAGCUUAACUCGCGCUCGGGGCGCAAUACCUUUUUAGCGCCCCUCCAUUCGAAAACCAUAUAAUAUGUCCAGUGACUUUUUUUGCGGACCAUUUGACGUCCCUUUGUGAGGAGCGCCCGGGGCAUGACGCCUUGCCCUACGCCUCGCUACGCCACUGGAAUUGAAAGAUCAAACUGAUAACAAAUGCUUAACAGACGACGGCCGUUGCUGUUUAUAUUACCUAUACCAUAGUAUCUUCCGAGAACGUUCGGCCAUGUUUCAAAAUCGCGACCCAUUCUAGCAUCGAAAUUACCCAACGGUACGCUCACGCGGUGAGAUAUUUGCUAGAGUUUGUUUCAGCCUCUCAUAAAUUUUGUCUUUUAUAUCGCCAAACCGAUCCACCGUAGGUUAGGUAGUAGUAGCAUUUAUUAAAUUUAAACAGUUGUUCGAUACAUAGAUAUAUAUUUUGGACAUUUUUCCAAUCUUCUGACUUUAGAUAUAGUACAGAUAAACACGAAUUUGGCAAGUGGCCUAAAAAUAACGCGGCCUAAAUGUAUUUAUAAAGGAAUGUCCGUCAUAAUGUAUAAUGCAAUAUGCCACAAUAAAAUUAUAUAUAUAGAUAUAUGUAAAUUUUUAAGAUUUAAUAGAUGUUAUAGAUGUUAGUUCAUAAUAAGUACUAGAUCUGAAUUACUGCUUGAAAUGUAUAUUUUGUUUCCAAGAAUUAUAAUAUUAAUGUUAAUAUAAAUACCGUAAAAUCUAUAUCCCAUAAAUCUUGAGAUUAACGAAUAUAAUUUAGUAAAAUGUAAGGUUUAUUACAAUCUACCUACAAUUUUUAGGACUUUGGUAUAUCUAGCAUAUACUAUAUGAUAUUGAAGCUCAAAGUAGAAAUUCGACGGCCGUCACAGAUUAAAAGUAAAAGACUGACUAUAACAAUGUCUUUGAGAUCAAAUCUAACCAAAUAUAAUUGUGCAUUUGUUGAAAUUUAGUAACGCUUUGGAAUAGAAAGCUAUGAAAUAUCCUUCACAGUAGAAAAAAAUUAUAUAUAUGUCUGACUGCCAAAUGUAUAGGUAUAUCUUCGCUGGACAGUUUUUUAAAUAUUUCUUAUUAAAUAUUCCGAGUAUUUUAUAAUAAAUUAAGCUAGAAUUACGCCCAAAAUCAAGCUUCUUAAUUUAACAAAUAAACAUUAAUUGUAAUUAAUUUUUCUCAUAUGUAUUGUAUUCCAUUUUGAUCAACUAUUUAAUCAAAAUCGAAUAGGCUACUAAAAUUUCAAUUUAAAUGAAAAUUUGAACUUUUUAGUAGUAGGUAUCUAACGUAAAAUUACUCAAAUAUCAUAAUGCUAAGUUUAUCAGGAAUAAUAUACCUGUGACAACUUUUAUAUAAAAUAAGAGAUUACUAGCUAAAUAAAAAAUGUUAUAAUUAAUAUAUAUUUUUAUCAUUUAUUAAUCUUAAAAAAGUUAGUAAAAUAUUAAAUACUUCAAAAAAAUAAUAAUUGGUGUGUAUACUUAUAUACGCACGUAAGAAGUUAUACUUCAUUGGCUAGCUAACUUCUUCGAUGGCUAACUUCAGGGUGUCGGUUUUUUUUGGGCCGGUGUCGCGCGCAUCUUAAAAAUUUUGCUCUCAUAAUUGUUCCUUAAUUCGCCAAAAGAAGUAUAACUUCAAAAAAAGAAAAAACAAUCUUUUUCUGUAAUGUGCAAUUUUAAAUGUGACAAUUUUUAAGAAGAUGUUAUAGGGAUUGUAAAGUAAGAAAAAUAAAAAGUUGUCUGAAAUAUGGAAAUACAAGAAAUGACCCAGUAUGAGACUUUGAUGUCGUUCGAAUUUUAAAUUCUAGGAAUUUUAUGAUAGGUUGACAUCUGUAUAAAGUAAAAGAAUUUAUACAAUUUAAGAGUGUAUGUGAUGUCUUCUCUAUGAUGACUGUAGGGUAUAAAGUUCGCCAAAUUAUUAAGAAUCAUUUUUCUACUUGAAUAAUAAUGAAAUAAUUUUUCUGCUUGUUUCACCAGUUUUGGAUAACGCUAAUUGACGGAUGACGAUAUCCAACAUAAAAGUUUUUGAUGUACCAUUCUUUUUACCAAUAAAUUUCACUGAAAAAAAAAAAACUUCUCAAAUUCUAUUCAUUAAUAUUAAAUCUUAAAAUUGUAGUUUUCUAAAUUACAACAGGUCCCAGCUAAUGCUCUAUUAUAUUUUCAACUUGUGUAACAGGCCCUAAGUGAUCUAAAAUCUAAAAAAUAUAUAUAUAAUUGAUGUACAGUUAAAGCAAAAAGCUCUAAAUUAAUCUCUAAUACGAUAAACAGGUAACGGUGCCUGAUCCAAGUUGAUUAUUAAACUUUUUGAUUCAAUGUCGAAUAUGAUGGUGAAAAAUAAAAAUAUAUCAUAAACUUAACUGUUUGAUAUAAUUAUUCGUCAAUUAACUUUAUCAAGAACCGUUGAGAUAAUAAGCCUUAAUAAAUUGUGUGUAUUAUUACUAUUGAUUAACAUUAUAAUUGGAGAUAGUACGUUAAUUACAUUUAAAAAAAUGACGUUAUUUUGUAUUGUUACUUACGUUUUUAUAAUGAUUAAAAUAAAAGUUAUAAUAAUUAUAAGUACUUAUAAUAAGUUUUUAUACUGGUUAAUUUUCUCGUUUCAUUCCAUGCUUAUUAUUUAUGUCAUUGUGUGUUUGUAAAUAUAAUUAAAAUAAGUUAAAAAACGAAACAAAAAAAAAAAAAAAAAAAAAAAAAA
This 3092-nucleotide unclassified non-coding RNA is filed under the name Melitaea cinxia (Glanville fritillary). Its description in RNAcentral is "misc RNA ENSMCXG00005008486.1". Lineage: Eukaryota; Metazoa; Arthropoda; Insecta; Lepidoptera; Nymphalidae. The record is from RNAcentral.